This 208-nucleotide long non-coding RNA is filed under the name Trifolium pratense (red clover). Its description in RNAcentral is "long non-coding RNA (TPRA_LNC001616)". The record is from RNAcentral. Lineage: Eukaryota; Viridiplantae; Streptophyta; Magnoliopsida; Fabales; Fabaceae.
UUUAAGUGUAUUAUUAAUGAUUUUAAUUUAUUCGGUAUAUAUAUUAGUACAAAUAUUAAUGAAAAUAUUAGUUUAGAGUUUAUUAUUGAUGAUUGUAAGUCACUCGGUACGCAUAUUAGUUCAAGUGCAAGUGAAAAUAUUAGUUCGUAAACUAUAUAUAAACUAGUAAGCUAUAAGCUCAUGAAAAAAUGUUACCAAUUUUUUUUUU